GACGAACGCUGGCGGCGUGCUUAACACAUGCAAGUCGAACGGAAAGGCCCUGCUUUUGUGGGGUGCUCGAGUGGCGAACGGGUGAGUAACACGUGAGUAACCUGCCCUUGACUUUGGGAUAACUUCAGGAAACUGGGGCUAAUACCGGAUAGGAGCUCCUGCUGCAUGGUGGGGGUUGGAAAGUUUCGGCGGUUGGGGAUGGACUCGCGGCUUAUCAGCUUGUUGGUGGGGUAGUGGCUUACCAAGGCUUUGACGGGUAGCCGGCAUGAGAGGGUGACCGGCCACAAUGGGACUGAGAAGCGGCCCAGACUCCUACGGGAGGCAGCAGUGGGGAAUAUUGCACAAUGGGCGGAAGCCUGAUGCAGCAACGCCGCGUGCGGGAUGACGGCCUUCGGGUUGUAAACCGCUUUCGCCUGUGACGAAGCGUGAGUGACGGUAACGGGUAAAGAAGCACCGGCUAACUACGUG
RNAcentral lists this ribosomal RNA (468 nucleotides) under uncultured bacterium. Its description in RNAcentral is "partial 16S ribosomal RNA". It matches the Rfam family "Bacterial small subunit ribosomal RNA", at positions 28 to 507 of the family's 1533-position model. The record is from RNAcentral.